Scomber japonicus (chub mackerel) is the source of this 190-nucleotide long non-coding RNA. RefSeq lists it as uncharacterized. The record is from RefSeq and is a predicted model, not a curated record. The transcript is spliced from 3 exons. Lineage: Eukaryota; Metazoa; Chordata; Actinopteri; Scombriformes; Scombridae.
CCUGCUGAAGAUAAAGCUGUCUGAGACUCUUGUUUUUCAUCAUACAGCGAGCAACGCUGUAACACAAGCAGCAGACAACGCCUGACGAGAGCCAGUUUGCAUUCUUCUCACUGCCAACCAGCUCUGUGUACAUUAGAAAUGAGGAAUCAUCUGAUUGAGUGGCCAGAGAGCAACGCACUCCCAUCCUCGC